RNAcentral lists this ribosomal RNA (516 nucleotides) under uncultured bacterium. Its description in RNAcentral is "bacterial SSU rRNA". It matches the Rfam family "Bacterial small subunit ribosomal RNA", at positions 8 to 502 of the family's 1533-position model. The record is from RNAcentral.
AGAGUUUGAUCCUGGCUCAGAUUGAACGCUGGCGGCAUGCCUAACACAUGCAAGUCGAACGGUAACAGGUCGCUGUGAUCCCUUCGGGGUGAACUUGAUGCUGACGAGUGGCGGACGGGUGAGUAAUGCUUGGGAAUCUGCCCAGUAGUGGGGGACAACACGGGGAAACUCGUGCUAAUACCGCAUACGUCCUACGGGAGAAAGUGGAGGAUCUUCGGACUUCACGCUAUUGGAUGAGCCCAAGUCGGAUUAGCUUGUUGGUGAGGUAAAGGCUCACCAAGGCAACGAUCCGUAGCUGGUCUGAGAGGACGAUCAGCCACACUGGGACUGAGACACGGCCCAGACUCCUACGGGAGGCAGCAGUGGGGAAUAUUGGACAAUGGGGGCAACCCUGAUCCAGCAAUGCCGCGUGUGUGAAGAAGGCCUGCGGGUUGUAAAGCACUUUCAGUAGAGAAGAAAUGCCUGGAGUUAAUACCUCCGGUCUUGACGUAACCUACAGAAGAAGCACCGCUAACU